CUCAACGGACGACACUUAGGUUUUGGCUGUGCAAAGCUGCUACAGACAGCAGCAUAUGUGAUGCCCGACUGGAUAUCUCGGCGGGUUAUGGUACGGCGGCUCGGUGUCGUGUGGAUCGUCUAGUCGGCGACCACCGCCCCUGUCGUCUCCGGCCCCCGUCGGGCGCAUUUUCUCCGCGGUGGUGCGCCGCGACCGGCUCUGGGUCGGCUUGGAAGAGUUUGGGGGUGAAGGUGGCCGGAGGCUCGACCGUCUCUGGCUUUACAGCACUCUCUGCUCCGACCUCGUCGCUUCCUGGGGCCGUGGACGCAGUACCUCGCUGUGCCUUCCUCCUCCCACCCGGGGGGGGACGGGGCCCCCUCGCCCCCGGCGUGACUGUCAACCGGGACGGACUGUCCUCAGUGCGUCUCAACCGCGUCGCGUCGUUCAGGGCGGGGACCGGCUCACGUACUAUUUGGGUCUCCCCAAAUAGUUUUCAUGCAGAUCCAUAUGACAUAUUUCACAAUUUAAGCAAAAAAAUCAAAAAAUUGUUCGUCACCACAUAUGCUGACGAGGAAGCGAAGGGUUUUGCCUUUACUCCGGCAUCUUGACUCCACCUGACAGCACAUUUGGUGAAGUCCUAAAAAUGAUGUUUAAAAAUGGAAAACGACAUCAGGGGUUGUGAGGCUGAGUUACUAACAUCUCCCCAAAGAGUUUUCAUGCAUGAUAUGAUA
RNAcentral lists this long non-coding RNA (710 nucleotides) under Gadus morhua (Atlantic cod). Its description in RNAcentral is "lncRNA (ENSGMOG00000024750.1)". Lineage: Eukaryota; Metazoa; Chordata; Actinopteri; Gadiformes; Gadidae. The record is from RNAcentral.